GUGUCAGCAGCCGCGGUAAUACGUAGGGGGCAAGCGUUGUCCGGAAUUAUUGGGCGUAAAGCGCGCGCAGGCGGUUUGGUAAGUCUUCUGUUUAAUCCCCGGGCUCAACCUGGGUACGCAGAGGAAACUGGCAGACUGGAGUGUAGGAGAGGAAAGUGGAAUUCCACGUGUAGCGGUGAAAUGCGUAGAGAUGUGGAGGAACACCAGUGGCGAAGGCGACUUUCUGGCCUAUAACUGACGCUGAGGCGCGAAAGCGUGGGGAGCAAACAGGAUUAGAUACCCUGGUAGUCCACGCCGUAAACGAUGAGUGCUAGGUGUUAGGGGUUUCGAUACCCUUGGUGCCGAAGUUAACACAGUAAGCACUCCGCCUGGGGAGUACGCUCGCAAGAGUGAA
This 394-nucleotide ribosomal RNA is filed under the name uncultured bacterium. RNAcentral describes it as "bacterial SSU rRNA". It matches the Rfam family "Bacterial small subunit ribosomal RNA", at positions 505 to 898 of the family's 1533-position model. The record is from RNAcentral.